This 521-nucleotide ribosomal RNA is filed under the name uncultured bacterium. Its description in RNAcentral is "bacterial SSU rRNA". It matches the Rfam family "Archaeal small subunit ribosomal RNA", at positions 345 to 866 of the family's 1478-position model. The record is from RNAcentral.
AAACUUCACAAUGGGCGAAAGCCCGAUGAGGGAAUUCCUAGUGCUAGCACAUUUGUGCUAGCUUUUCCUUAGCGUAGAUAACUAGGGGAAUAAGGGCUGGGUAAGACGGGUGCCAGCCGCCGCGGUAAUACCCGCAGCCCGAGUGGUGGUCGAUUUUAUUGAGUCUAAAACGUUCGUAGCCGGUCUGAUAAAUCCCUGGGUAAAUCGGGUGGCUUAACCAUCCGAAUUCCGGGGAGACUGUCAGGCUUGGGAUCGGGAGAGGUAUGAGGUACUUCAGGGGUAGGGGUAAAAUCCUGUAAUCCUUGGAGGACCACCGGUGGCGAAGGCGUCAUACUAGAACGAAUCCGACGGUGAGGGACGAAGCCCUAGGUCGCAAACGGGAUUAGAUACCCCGGUAGUCUAGGGUGUAAACGCUGCAGACUAGGUGUUGGAGGCCCUACGGGGGCCACCCAGUGCCCGAGAGAAGUUGUUAAGUCUGCUACUUGGGGAGUACGUCCGCAAGGAUGAAACUUAAAGGAAUU